GCUGGGCACGGUGGUGCACACCUAUAAUCCUGGUGGCUUGGAGGCUGAGAAAGGAGGAUCACGAGUUCAAAGCUAGCCUCAGCAAAAGCAAGGCACUAAGCAACUCAGUGAUACCCUGUCUCUA
This 124-nucleotide small RNA is filed under the name Marmota monax (woodchuck). Lineage: Eukaryota; Metazoa; Chordata; Mammalia; Rodentia; Sciuridae. The record is from RNAcentral.